GAAACCGUUCAGGGGUAAACCUGAGAAACCCAAAAGAUCGAAUGGGGAGAUUCAUCGUCGACGAGGCUGGCUUCCGUUGGCGCGCAGAUACCCCGCGUAUGGACCUUCGCGGUUCCAAUGCGCGAGGGUACACCGCCUUCGGCCUAAAUGUUCCGGCAACGUAGUCGUGCACUUCUCCCUUAGUAGAACGUCGCGACCCGUUGCGUGUCGGUCUACGGCCCGAGUGGUUGCCUGCCGCGUCGCCUUUGGCGCACGCGACAGACCCUCGAUCGCCCGGCCGGCUGCGCGACGGUACUCUGACGGUAUCGGGCCGCAACCAAUCCAUUUUCGAAUGUGUGUGCGUCAGGCCCGCCGCAAGCUCGAUCAGUAUACCCUCGGAGGUACGGACCUGGUGCCGGCUCCGAGCCUGGUCAGCUGUUGGCAGGCGGUGUCCUCGGACUGGCCAAGCUUCGAAUUACCGGUCGGCGACGCUACUGCUUUGGGUACUCUCAGGACCCGUCUUGAAACACGGACCAAGGAGUCUAACAUGUGCGCGAGUCAUUGGGAUAUUGUAAACCUAAAGGCGGAAUGAAAGUGAAGGUCGUCCUUAGCGUCGACCGAGGGAGGAUGGGCCGCGUUGCCGAUGCGGCCUCGCACUCCCGGGGCGUCUCGUUCUCAUUGCGAGAAGAGGCGCACCCAGAGCGUACACGUUGGGACCCGAAAGAUGGUGAACUAUGCCUGGUCAGGACGAAGUCAGGGGAAACCCUGAUGGAGGUCCGUAGCGAUUCUGACGUGCAAAUCGAUCGUCGGAACUGGGUAUAGGGGCGAAAGACUAAUCGAACCAUCUAGUAGCUGGUUCCCUCCGAAGUUUCCCUCAGGAUAGCUGGCACUCGCUUGUUCCUCCGUGAACUUGUGCGAGUUUCAUCUGGUAAAGCGAAUGAUUAGAGGCCUUGGGGCCGAAACGACCUCAACCUAUUCUCAAACUUUAAAUGGGUGAGAUCUCUGGCUUGCUUGGAUCAAUGAAGCCACGAGAUUUAUGAAUCAGAGUGCCAAGUGGGCCAAUUUUGGUAAGCAGAACUGGCGCUGUGGGAUGAACCAAACGCAGAGUUAAGGCGCCUAAGUCGACGCUUAUGGGAUACCAUGAAAGGCGUUGGUUGCUUAAGACAGCAGGACGGUGGCCAUGGAAGUCGGAA
This 1172-nucleotide ribosomal RNA is filed under the name Nomia tetrazonata. Its description in RNAcentral is "eukaryotic LSU rRNA". It matches the Rfam family "Eukaryotic large subunit ribosomal RNA", at positions 401 to 1266 of the family's 3401-position model. Lineage: Eukaryota; Metazoa; Arthropoda; Insecta; Hymenoptera; Halictidae. The record is from RNAcentral.